UACGUAGGGGGCAAGCGUUGUCCGGAAUUAUUGGGCGUAAAGCGCGCGCAGGCGGUCGUUUAAGUCUGGUGUUUAAGCCCGGGGCUCAACCCCGGUUCGCAUCGGAAACUGGAUGACUUGAGUGUAAGAGAGGAAAGUGGAAUUCCACGUGUAGCGGUGAAAUGCGUAGAUAUCGAGAGGAACACCUGCGGCGAAGGCGGGUUGCUGGGCUGACACUGACGCUGAGGCGCGAAAGCUAGGGGAGCGAACAGG
RNAcentral lists this ribosomal RNA (252 nucleotides) under uncultured bacterium. RNAcentral's name for it is "partial 16S ribosomal RNA". It matches the Rfam family "Bacterial small subunit ribosomal RNA", at positions 524 to 776 of the family's 1533-position model. The record is from RNAcentral.